Molecule: ribosomal RNA, 235 nt
Filed under: uncultured bacterium
Lineage: Bacteria
Description: partial 16S ribosomal RNA
Rfam family: Bacterial small subunit ribosomal RNA
Source: RNAcentral
ACGGGUGAGUAACACGUAUGCAAUCCACCUGUAACAGGGGGAUAACCCGGAGAAAUCCGGACUAAUACCCCAUAAUAUGGGCGCUCCGCAUGGAGAGUCCAUUAAAGAGAGCAAUCUUGGUUACAGACGAGCAUGCGCUCCAUUAGCCAGUUGGCGGGGUAACGCCCACCAAGGCGACGAUGGAUAGGGGUUCUGAGAGGAAGGUCCCCCACAUUGGAACUGAGACACGGUCCAA